RNAcentral lists this ribosomal RNA (253 nucleotides) under uncultured bacterium. RNAcentral's name for it is "partial 16S ribosomal RNA". It matches the Rfam family "Bacterial small subunit ribosomal RNA", at positions 524 to 776 of the family's 1533-position model. The record is from RNAcentral.
UACGUAGGGGGCAAGCGUUGUCCGGAAUCAUUGGGCGUAAAGAGCGUGUAGGCGGCCAGAAAAGUCCGCUGUGAAAACUCGAGGCUCAACUUCGAGCUGUCGGUGGAAACUUUCUGGCUAGAGUCCGGAAGAGGAGAAUGGAAUUCCUGGUGUAGCGGUGAAAUGCGCAGAUAUCAGGAGGAACACCGAUGGCGAAGGCAGGUCUCUGGGCAUUAACUGACGCUGAGGAGCGAAAGCAUGGGGAGCGAACAGG